UGGUGUAAAUUCCUGUCAUGAGCUUAUCUGACUUUGAAAAGUCCUGGGGAAAGCUUGGCUAUCUUGUGCCAGCUGCUCGCUUGUGUUCAAGAUACUAUGACCUUGGCUAUGAAGUUUAGAUGCUUUUGUAAGUGAAAGUUUUCAAAAACACAUGUCGGAAGUUUAUCUCAUUUUCCCCAUUCUAAAGGCCUGUGAAUUUUUCUUAAUCCUAGUUGUAAGUCCAUGUAAAGAAAGGCGUCCCCAUGAUUUCUUAGUGCAGAGCUCUCUGCGUUAGGAUCAGAGCCUGGGGCCGGACUGGAUGAGUUACAA
This 309-nucleotide long non-coding RNA is filed under the name Bos taurus (domestic cattle). Its description in RNAcentral is "long non-coding RNA NONBTAT000008". Lineage: Eukaryota; Metazoa; Chordata; Mammalia; Artiodactyla; Bovidae. The record is from RNAcentral.